RNAcentral lists this long non-coding RNA (872 nucleotides) under Ursus americanus (American black bear). RNAcentral describes it as "lncRNA (ENSUAMG00000021380.1)". The record is from RNAcentral. Lineage: Eukaryota; Metazoa; Chordata; Mammalia; Carnivora; Ursidae.
GGGCAGCUCUGUCUUGCCUUUGCAGCUGCCCAGCUUCAUCAACACCACCCUCCCGCCGCACGAGCAGGUGACGGCCCAGGAGAUCGACAGCUACUUCCGCCACGAGCUCGUCUACAAGAGGAAUGAGCGGAUGGGGAAGAGGGUCAUGGCGCUUCUGCGGGAGAACGAAGACAAGACCUGCUUCUUCGCCUUCGGAGCAGGUCAUUUCCUGGGGAACAACACAGUCAUCGACGUCCUUCGGCAGGCAGGGCUGGAGGUGGAGCACACACCCGCGGGCCAGACCAUCCACAGCCCCGCCGCCCGGAGCCCUGCGCCCCCACCCGAGGGGACCUCGGCGAGCCCGGCCCCAGCCACCCCCGCCGCCGCUGUCCCCCCAGCGCCCUCGGCGACCCCCACCGUUCCGCCUGAGGAGGAGGACCCGGCCCUGUCCCCACACCUCCUGCUCCCCGACAGCCUCAGCCAGCUGGAGGAGUUUGGACGGCAGAAGAAGUGGCACAAGAGGCAGAACAAGCAGCAGCGGCCACGGCAGUUCAAUGACCUGUGGGUCCGCCUCGAGGACAGCACGGCUGCCUCGCCGCCCCCGCCGCCCCUGCAGCCCACGCACAGCUCCGGGACCGCGGGGCCACCCUUGCAGCUCUCGGAGCGGCUUCAGCAGCGGGAAGAGCCAGGCCCCACCAGCAGCUCAGCGCCCUGCGGCCCACAGCCCGCCCUGGGCCUCCUCCCCGCCCUCCUGGCCAGCGUGGCAGCCCCCCUGGUGCAGCACACCCUGGGGCCCUCCUGACCUUGGCUACCAGUGCAGAGAAGCCAGAGAGACCACAGGAGGGUGUGUGGCCACACCCCACUGCCCCUGCCACCACCUCCAGGGUGCCUGA